CACUUGAACACUUGGAAAUUAAACCUGCAUUCAUCUUUGAUUUAAGUGAUGAUCUAAAUAAAGAGUUUCUUAAACCACCUAGGGAGUUGCCAACAAUGG
Molecule: long non-coding RNA, 99 nt
Organism: Telopea speciosissima
Lineage: Eukaryota; Viridiplantae; Streptophyta; Magnoliopsida; Proteales; Proteaceae
Exons: 3
Source: RefSeq, a predicted model, not a curated record